Molecule: transfer RNA, 73 nt
Filed under: Ryssota otaheitana
Lineage: Eukaryota; Metazoa; Mollusca; Gastropoda; Stylommatophora; Chronidae
Description: tRNA-His
Source: RNAcentral
CCUUUUAUAAGUUAAGUAAACUCAGGGCUUGUGGGGCCUUAUAUAACUCUAUAAUAUAAGUAGUUUAAAAGGU